This 1372-nucleotide ribosomal RNA is filed under the name uncultured bacterium. RNAcentral describes it as "bacterial SSU rRNA". It matches the Rfam family "Bacterial small subunit ribosomal RNA", at positions 28 to 1381 of the family's 1533-position model. The record is from RNAcentral.
GAUGAACGCUGGCGGCGUGCCUAAUACAUGCAAGUCGAGCGAACAGACGAGGAGCUUGCACCUCUGACGUUAGCGGCGGACGGGUGAGUAACACGUGGAUAACCUACCUAUAAGACUGGGAUAACUUCGGGAAACCGGAGCUAAUACCGGAUAACAUGUUGAACCGCAUGGUUCAACAGUGAAAGACGGUCUUGCUGUCACUUAUAGAUGGAUCCGCGCCGCAUUAGCUAGUUGGUAAGGUAACGGCUUACCAAGGCAACGAUGCGUAGCCGACCUGAGAGGGUGAUCGGCCACACUGGAACUGAGACACGGUCCAGACUCCUACGGGAGGCAGCAGUAGGGAAUCUUCCGCAAUGGGCGAAAGCCUGACGGAGCAACGCCGCGUGAGUGAAGAAGGUCUUCGGAUCGUAAAACUCUGUUAUUAGGGAAGAACAAAUGUGUAAGUAACUAUGCACGUCUUGACGGUACCUAAUCAGAAAGCCACGGCUAACUACGUGCCAGCAGCCGCGGUAAUACGUAGGUGGCAAGCGUUAUCCGGAAUUAUUGGGCGUAAAGCGCGCGUAGGCGGUUUUUUAAGUCUGAUGUGAAAGCCCACGGCUCAACCGUGGAGGGUCAUUGGAAACUGGAAAACUUGAGUGCAGAAGAGGAAAGUGGAAUUCCAUGUGUAGCGGUGAAAUGCGCAGAGAUAUGGAGGAACACCAGUGGCGAAGGCGACUUUCUGGUCUGUAACUGACGCUGAUGUGCGAAAGCGUGGGGAUCAAACAGGAUUAGAUACCCUGGUAGUCCACGCCGUAAACGAUGAGUGCUAAGUGUUAGGGGGUUUCCGCCCCUUAGUGCUGCAGCUAACGCAUUAAGCACUCCGCCUGGGGAGUACGACCGCAAGGUUGAAACUCAAAGGAAUUGACGGGGACCCGCACAAGCGGUGGAGCAUGUGGUUUAAUUCGAAGCAACGCGAAGAACCUUACCAAAUCUUGACAUCCUCUGACCCCUCUAGAGAUAGAGUUUUCCCCUUCGGGGGACAGAGUGACAGGUGGUGCAUGGUUGUCGUCAGCUCGUGUCGUGAGAUGUUGGGUUAAGUCCCGCAACGAGCGCAACCCUUAAGCUUAGUUGCCAUCAUUAAGUUGGGCACUCUAAGUUGACUGCCGGUGACAAACCGGAGGAAGGUGGGGAUGACGUCAAAUCAUCAUGCCCCUUAUGAUUUGGGCUACACACGUGCUACAAUGGACAAUACAAAGGGCAGCGAAACCGCGAGGUCAAGCAAAUCCCAUAAAGUUGUUCUCAGUUCGGAUUGUAGUCUGCAACUCGACUACAUGAAGCUGGAAUCGCUAGUAAUCGUAGAUCAGCAUGCUACGGUGAAUACGUUCCCGGGUCU